CUGUUUAUUUGUGCAGCCCUUUUUGACUUAUGUGCGCGCGAGUAAACAAAUAAAUAUUGCAUAAUCGUAAUAAAUUAAAAUAUUAAUAUAAAAUACAUUAUAGUAUUUUAUUAAAAUAAAAUUAAAUGAAAAUAAUAAAUAGCAUAAGUGCGCCAAACAUAAUAAGUUAAAUAAGUGAGAACAAAGUGAACAAGGAAUUUGGCAUGUUUCGUGAAAUAUCAUGGUUGUGACAUACCAAUUCUUCAUGCUGGAACCAAUAUGCCACAGGAAUAAACAAAUAUGUAUAUAAAUAUAUAUCAGAUAAGUAUAGUUAAUAUUUACAAAAAAUUAUUUAAAUAAAGAUAACAUCUAUGUGCUUUUGUAAUUAUAUUAUUGUUGAAUCAAUUCUUUUCUUUUUUCAGCUUUCUACUCGCAGAAUGUUAACAGCUGGAGAACAAUUCCCUGUAAAAUAGGAUUGUCAAAUUCUGCGGAUGCUAUAUCCUUGAGUGCAAUUUGAUUAGCAAAUAUUGUAAUCACAUCCUAACCUAACCUAACCUAACCUAACCUAACAUUAAAUAUCAAAGUUAAACAUUAAAUCUGUCAUAUGUCACUAUAGCAGUGGGACGACAAAUUGAAAAACAGCAAACAAAAUGUUGCUUUUAUUUGUCUCCGUAACAAGUUAUUAAGUUUAGAGAUCAGAUGUAGCAAGCUUUUUCCUUGAGAAUCGGUUUUUACUAGAGGCAACCGUAACAAAUGACAAGUUUGUGGAACAAGAAAAAUUAAAAGAACACGAAGUGGAAA
This is a long non-coding RNA of Monomorium pharaonis (pharaoh ant), 780 nucleotides long. RefSeq lists it as uncharacterized. Lineage: Eukaryota; Metazoa; Arthropoda; Insecta; Hymenoptera; Formicidae. The record is from RefSeq and is a predicted model, not a curated record. The transcript is spliced from 3 exons.